This 73-nucleotide transfer RNA is filed under the name Dermacentor silvarum. RNAcentral's name for it is "transfer RNA tyrosine (anticodon GUA)". It matches the Rfam family "tRNA". From Rfam's summary of the family: Transfer RNA (tRNA) molecules are approximately 80 nucleotides in length. Their secondary structure includes four short double-helical elements and three loops (D, anti-codon, and T loops). The record is from RNAcentral. Lineage: Eukaryota; Metazoa; Arthropoda; Arachnida; Ixodida; Ixodidae.
CCGUCGAUAGCUCAGUUGGUAGAGCGGUGGACUGUAGAUCCAUAGGUCGCUGGUUCGAAUCCGGCUCGACGCA